This 484-nucleotide ribosomal RNA is filed under the name uncultured bacterium. RNAcentral's name for it is "partial 16S ribosomal RNA". It matches the Rfam family "Bacterial small subunit ribosomal RNA", at positions 30 to 507 of the family's 1533-position model. The record is from RNAcentral.
AUUGAACGCUGGCGGCAGGCCUAACACAUGCAAGUCGAGCGGAUGAAGGGAGCUUGCUCCUGGAUUCAGCGGCGGACGGGUGAGUAAUGCCUAGGAAUCUGCCUGGUAGUGGGGGAUAACGUCCGGAAACGGGCGCUAAUACCGCAUCCGUCCUGAGGGAGAAAGUGGGGGAUCUUCGGACCUCACGCUAUCAGAUGAGCCUAGGUCGGAUUAGCUAGUUGGUGGGGUAAAGGCCUACCAAGGCGACGAUCCGUAACUGGUCUGAGAGGAUGAUCAGUCACACUGGAACUGAGACACGGUCCAGACUCCUACGGGAGGCAGCAGUGGGGAAUAUUGGGCAAUGGGCGAAAGCCUGACCCAGCCAUGCCGCGUGUGUGAAGAAGGUCUUCGGAUUGUAAAGCACUUUAAGUUGGGAGGAAGGGCAGUAAGUUAAUACCUUGCUGUUUUGACGUUACCAACAGAAUAAGCACCGGCUAACUUCGUG